AUACGUAGGGGGCGAGCGUUGUCCGGAAUGAUUGGGCGUAAAGGGCGCGUAGGCGGCCCGGUAAGUCUGGAGUGAAAGUCCUGUUUUUAAGAUGGGAAUUGCUUUGGAUACUGUCGGGCUUGAGUGCAGGAGAGGUAAGUGGAAUUCCCAGUGUAGCGGUGAAAUGCGUAGAGAUCGGGAGGAACACCAGUGGCGAAGGCGGGUAACUGGACUGCAACUGACGCUGAGGCGCGAAAGUGUGGGGAGCAGACAGGAUUAGAUACCCUGGUAGUCCACACUGUAAACAAUGAAUGCUAGGUGUAAGAGGUAUCGACCCCUUUUGUGCCGGAGUCAACACAAUAAGCAUUCCGCCUGGGGAGUACGGCCGCAAGGUUGAAACUCAAAUGAAUUGACGGGG
RNAcentral lists this ribosomal RNA (397 nucleotides) under uncultured bacterium. RNAcentral's name for it is "partial 16S ribosomal RNA". It matches the Rfam family "Bacterial small subunit ribosomal RNA", at positions 523 to 918 of the family's 1533-position model. The record is from RNAcentral.